Molecule: microRNA precursor, 50 nt
Filed under: Ciona intestinalis (vase tunicate)
Lineage: Eukaryota; Metazoa; Chordata; Ascidiacea; Phlebobranchia; Cionidae
Description: microRNA cin-mir-4215 precursor
Source: miRBase by way of RNAcentral
ACAAUCAUAUACAUUAAAAUGUUAUUAAAAUUAAUGUAUUAUAUGAUUGU